GGGGCUGUUCCGGCUUCGACGGGUAAUCGAACAACCGAUAUAAGCACGCGGAAGGAGGCGUCUUCCUUAAAACGCCGAAAGCAAUUAAAUGCUAACAAAACAACUUCCAAGGUAAGCGCGUCCGCUUUCGGCGGCGCUCUUGCUUGCGCAGCCUAACUUUCUGCGCCGUCGGCGCGGGAUCUCACCGCCCCGCGUUCGGCGUCAACAGGUGAAACCCCCGGCGGCAACGGGCAUAGCCGCCGCUGUACGCAUGCCCUCGCGCAGAGCGUUCCGUUUGCCCACAGCGAUGCGUUAAACUUUCAGGCAAACUAAGCGUGUAGAAGGUCGCUUGCGACAUUAUUCGGACAUGGGUUCAACUCCCAUCAGCUCCACCA
RNAcentral lists this transfer-messenger RNA (374 nucleotides) under Candidatus Protoclostridium gallicola. RNAcentral's name for it is "Protoclostridium gallicola Standard tmRNA". It matches the Rfam family "transfer-messenger RNA". From Rfam's summary of the family: Bacterial tmRNA, also known as 10Sa RNA or SsrA, is named for its dual tRNA and mRNA-like properties. Its role is to liberate the mRNA from a stalled ribosome. RNAcentral also lists the same sequence under 1 other name. The record is from RNAcentral. Lineage: Bacteria; Bacillati; Bacillota; Clostridia.